AACCCGCACAAUAUAAUAGGCGAUCAUUAGCUAGAUUCAGCUCAUCAAGUCUGAUUCCGAUCCGGCGAAGUAAUCCCAAUUCUCAGCUUGGAACUACUUCGAUCUAACCCUAUCUCUCUCAGAUCACAUCUUCUCUCGCUCUCUUUUCCCUAUCAACUCUAUUUUCUGAACCAGGGGUGAGUCAUCUGCCUAUUCUCGAGCUCAUCAUUAAAGAUGAAUAUGCAGCAAGCUGUGCAGUCCAGAUCUUCAGCGAAUGGAUAUGGUCGCCGUAAAGUUGAAAAAGAUUCUGCAGCUAGGUCUGACAGUAAAUUUCAUACCGGGAAAGCAAACUAUAGCAGGACUAGUUCUGGUAAAGGAGGGAUACUUGAGUCACCUUCACGCGAUAGAUUGAUAUAUUUAACUGCAUGUCUCAUUGGACACCAAGUGGAAGUCCAGGUGAUGGAUGGAUCUGUGUUUUCUGGAAUAUUUCAUGCAACAAAUGCAGAGGAUUUCGGAAUUGUUCUGAAGAUGGCUCACCUGAUUAAAGAUGGUUCUCAAGGAAAAAAAGAUAUUUCAGAUGCUCUUAGCAAUCCUUCUCCAAAGACACUGAUUAUACCAGCUAACGAUCUCAUACAAGUGAUAGCAAAGGGAGUGCCUGUAAUGAGGGAUGGAUUAUCAAAUGAGCUGCAAUAUGAAAGGCAGCAAGAGCUAUUAACAGAUUCCUGCAUAUCACAGUCCCGGCAUGUUGACUUGGGUAGAGAAUUGGAGCGUUGGAUCCCUGAUGAAAACAAUCCAAGUUACCCUGAUCUUGAGAACAUAUUUGAUAGUCCUUGGAAAAGGGGCUGGGAUCAAUUUGAAGCGAAUGCAACUUUAUUUGGAGUUAAGAGCACUUUCAACGAGGAACUUUACACAACAAAGCUUGAGAAAGGUCCUCAAAUGAGAGAAUUGGAGAAAGAAGCUAUGCGGAUAGCUAGAGAGAUUGAGGGUGAGGAUACCGGUGAUCUUCAUUUAGCAGAGGAAAGGGGUCGUCAGCUUGAUGAAAGUGUAGAACUUGAUGAAGAAACACGAUUCUCCUCAGUCAUUCGGUCAAUUGAUGACAGUGGAUAUGAUGAGAUCGAAGACAUAUUACAGGAUUCACGAAAUGAUGAAACAUUUGGUGAUUCCUUGAGGCCUGUUAUUGGCAAACCUCCAAUUGACACGUUUCCUGGGAAAGCUAGAGAUGGUGCUCAAAUGCCAUCAAGAUUUCCAUCCUUGGGAGAAGCGCAAUCUUCUGUGUCCAGUAGCAGGGAUGUGUACCAUUCAGGUUCCGAGGAUCAUGGCACACAGAUACUGAAUGAACAUCUUCCUAAAGUAUCCUCUGGAAUUUAUUCAAGCAGGGUGCUUGACAACCAAUAUACUGGACAUGCGGAAAGUAGUAGUGUUCAGGAUGAUAAAGAUAAGCCAGUGUCGCUUGAUCGAGGUGGAUCAUCAAAGACUGAGGACUCAGAUUCAUUGCUAAGAUUUAAAAAGGGUUGCGCUGCUAACGCUGCCUUGUCUCCAAAUACUACAUCUAUUGAUCCAUCACGUGUAUCAGCCGAAGGAGAUGAGAAGGCGAGCUCUAGUAAUGAGCUAUCGGAGGGUACAUUGCCUCCCAAAACGCAAGGGGCAGCACAUUUUCUUGCCCGGCCCAAUAGUUCUGCAUCAUCUACUUCUGAUCGUGGAGGUGCUGCUUCUACUUCUGCUAGCCAAGGAUUGUCAUCUAGUUCAUCUGUUGGUUCAUUGUCAUCAGAGAAGUCAUCUCUGAAUCCAUAUGCUAAGGAAUUUAAGUUAAAUCCGAAUGCAAAGAGUUUCACCCCAUCUCAGUCGUCUAUGAGGCCUUCUUCCCCAGUUGCUGAUGGUCCCUUCUACUAUCCAGCUAAUGUGGCACCAAUGACUCAGAUGCAUGGAAUGCCUGUGAAUAUUGGGAUUGGACCUUCUUUUGCUACACACCAGCCUAUUAUGUUCAAUCCACAGGCUGCACCACUGCCACAGCCAUACUAUCAUCCAAACGGACCUCAGUAUGGGCAGCAGAUGAUGAUUGGACAACAUCGGCCAGUCUUGUACAUGCCAACAUACCCAGCAGAAAUGCCUUACAACCAUGGGAGGGAAUUUUGAUGAAGGCUAGUAGUCGAACCAUAUUAUGUGUUUCUGUUUAUGUUUACAACAACAGGCUGCUCUGAAAUGAUUUUUCCGACAAGGCUCAGCAGCUGAAAAAAAUCUGCUCAGCUCUGGAGACCGUAAGGAGAUUUGUGGUCUUAACAUAUAUUCACAACCAGGUUGACCUUUGACAUAAGGCGAAUUAUGAUGCUUAGUUUUACUUUUUGGGGCUUCAGACAACAAGGCAAUAUCAAAUCAUGCAAUUAAGGUACUCCAUUUUUAGCCGAGUUAUGUAAAAUCAUCGGCAGUGGUUAAAUUUCGGUUUGUGCUGUAUCUUUCUUGAAGUUUGUAUUUUUUCUCAAUUAUCUCAUUAUGAAAAAUUCAAGCCAUUUAUGUAUAGUACUCCCUCCUUCCUAUAAUAAUUAUCCAUUUUGGUUUUGACACUGAUUUUAAGAAAUGUAAAGGAAAGUGAGUUGAAAAAAGUUAAUAAAUAUGAGUCUCACUUUUAUAUA
Molecule: RNA transcript, 2606 nt
Organism: Salvia splendens (bonfire salvia)
Lineage: Eukaryota; Viridiplantae; Streptophyta; Magnoliopsida; Lamiales; Lamiaceae
Gene name: polyadenylate-binding protein-interacting protein 4
Exons: 16
Source: RefSeq, a predicted model, not a curated record